Molecule: long non-coding RNA, 692 nt
Filed under: Pogona vitticeps (central bearded dragon)
Lineage: Eukaryota; Metazoa; Chordata; Lepidosauria; Squamata; Agamidae
Description: lncRNA (ENSPVIG00000006198.1)
Source: RNAcentral
CCUUGUUCUUACUCUGCAGCCAUGGUGGCAGCUGUCCUGUCCAACGAUCGUGAGUACAUCCUUAUCCUCGACCUCCAAACCCUCUCCAAUGCCUACUGCUACUGCCGUCAACAGGGUAUGACUCUGGCAACAUUCAGAGAUGAGACUGACCUGGGCCUUGCUGCCUCCCUCUGUCACAACUGCACUGUCUGGAUUGGGCUAUACAAUCUUUUUACGUGGUUUUGGAUUAACAGUGACCCAUAUAGGUUCCAGAAGUGGGGUCCAGGACCCAUAACAACAUACCCUUGUGUGGUUAUGAAAAACGGCUUGUGGUAUCGAGAGAAUUGUCAGCAGAGACAUCUUUUUGUGUGUUACAGAGGGCCUACAGGGGCACUUCCUUUUUCCCUCAGCUUCCACUUCAGCUGCCCUUCCACCCCUAUUCAGUUGGGCUCAAGGACUCCUUCCCCACAAGCCACCAGAGUUGAUUUUGUCUUCAACCCUAAUCAGGGUGUUAUUGGGGUUCUUCCUCCUUCACGCCAAGAUCCUUCCAUAACCCUCAGAGAUCAGCAAGCCACCCCUGUAUAUGCAAACAGGUUGACUGCUUCCUCUUUAGCUGCCGGAGAAGGUUGGUCUCUUAAUACCCCGUAACCUUUGCUCCCCACUUUGUUUUGACCCCUGAAAGAAAAGGGCUGAUGAACUGGAGAGAAUCAUGG